GACGGAGGAUGCAAGUGUUAUCCGGAAUCACUGGGCGUAAAGCGUCUGUAGGUGGUCAAAUAAGUCAACUGUUAAAUCUUGAGGCUCAACCUCAAAAUCGCAGUCGAAACUAUUAGACUAGAGUAUAGUAGGGGUAAAGGGAAUUUCCAGUGGAGCGGUGAAAUGCGUAGAGAUUGGAAAGAACGCCGAUGGCGAAGGCACUUUACUGGGCUAUUACUAACACUCAGAGACGAAAGCUAGGGUAGCAAAUGGG
Molecule: ribosomal RNA, 253 nt
Filed under: uncultured bacterium
Lineage: Bacteria
Description: partial 16S ribosomal RNA
Rfam family: Bacterial small subunit ribosomal RNA
Source: RNAcentral